This 253-nucleotide ribosomal RNA is filed under the name uncultured bacterium. RNAcentral's name for it is "partial 16S ribosomal RNA". It matches the Rfam family "Bacterial small subunit ribosomal RNA", at positions 524 to 776 of the family's 1533-position model. The record is from RNAcentral.
UACAGAGGUCCCAAGCGUUGUUCGGAUUCACUGGGCGUAAAGGGUGCGUAGGUGGCCGGUUAAGUCUGACGUGAAAUCUCCGAGCCUAUCUCGGAAACUGCAUCGGAAACUAUCCGGCUCGAGGGUUGGAGGGGGGACUGGAAUACUUGGUGUAGCAGUGAAAUGCGUAGAUAUCAAGUGGAACACCAGUGGCGAAGGCGAGUCCCUGGACAACUCCUGACACUGAGGCACGAAAGCUAGGGGAGCAAACAGG